Molecule: transfer RNA, 73 nt
Filed under: Promethearchaeota archaeon
Lineage: Archaea; Promethearchaeati; Promethearchaeota
Description: Candidatus Lokiarchaeota archaeon tRNA-Ser
Rfam family: tRNA
About the family: Transfer RNA (tRNA) molecules are approximately 80 nucleotides in length. Their secondary structure includes four short double-helical elements and three loops (D, anti-codon, and T loops).
Source: RNAcentral
GGGAAGGUGGUCUAGCUUGGUAAGAAAAAGGUAUGAAACCGUGUGGUCGGGGGUUCAAAUCCCCCCUUUCCCA